GGAUGGGGAUGCGUCUGAUUAGAUAGUAGGCGGGGUAACGGCCCACCUAGUCUAAGAUCAGUAGGGGGUUAUGAGAGGAAGGUCCCCCACAUUGGAACUGAGACACGGUCCAAACUCCUACGGGAGGCAGCAGUGAGGAAUAUUGGUCAAUGGGCGAGAGCCUGAACCAGCCAAGUAGCGUGCAGGAUGACGGCCCUAUGGGUUGUAAACUGCUUUUAUGCGGGGAUAAAGUUCACUACGUGUAGUGUUUUGUAGGUACCGCAUGAAUAAGGACCGGCUAAUUCCGUGCCAGCAGCCGCGGUAAUACGGAAGGUCCGGGCGUUAUCCGGAUUUAUUGGGUUUAAAGGGAGCGCAGGCCGGAGGUCAAGCGUGACGUGAAAUGUAGCCGCUCAACGGCUGAACUGCGUCGCGAACUGGCUUUCUUGAGUGAGUUCGAUGUGGGCGGAAUUCGUGGUGUAGCGGUGAAAUGCUUAGAUAUCACGAAGAACUCCGAUUGCGAAGGGCAGCCCACAAGGCCUUUACUGACGCUAAAGCUCGAAGGUGCGGGUAUCGAACAGGAUUAGAUACCCUGGUAGUCCGCACGGUAAACGAUGGAUGCCCGCUGUUUGCGAUAUACUGUGAGCGGCCAAGAGAAAUCGUUAAGCAUCCCACCUGGGGAGUACGCCGGCAACGGUGAAACUCAAAGGAAUUGACGGGGGCCCGCACAAGCGGAGGAACAUGUGGUUUAAUUCGAUGAUACGCGAGGAACCUUACCCGGGCUUGAACUGCAGCGGAAGGAUACAGAGAUGUUGACGCCCUUCGGGGCCGCUGUGGAGGUGCUGCAUGGUUGUCGUCAGCUCGUGCCGUGAGGUGUCGGCUUAAGUGCCAUAACGAGCGCAACCCUUUUCUUCAGUUGCCAUCAGGUCAUGCUGGGCACUCUGGAGACACUGCCACCGUAAGGUGUGAGGAAGGUGGGGAUGACGUCAAAUCAGCACGGCCCUUACGUCCGGGGCUACACACGUGUUACAAUGGGUGGUACAGAGAGUCGGUCGUCUGCAAAUGCGAUCCAAUCCUUAAAGCCAUCCUCAGUUCGGAUUGGGGUCUGCAACCCGACCCCAUGAAGCUGGAUUCGCUAGUAAUCGCGCAUCAGCCAUGGCGCGGUGAAUACGUUCCCGGGCCUUGUACUCACCGCCCGUCAAG
Molecule: ribosomal RNA, 1179 nt
Filed under: uncultured bacterium
Lineage: Bacteria
Description: bacterial SSU rRNA
Rfam family: Bacterial small subunit ribosomal RNA
Source: RNAcentral